RNAcentral lists this ribosomal RNA (1241 nucleotides) under metagenome. RNAcentral's name for it is "bacterial LSU rRNA". It matches the Rfam family "Bacterial large subunit ribosomal RNA", at positions 1564 to 2813 of the family's 2925-position model. The record is from RNAcentral.
UGAAUACGAGAUGCUACGGCGUCGAAGCAGUCUAUGUCAUACUUCCAAGAAAAGCUUGCACUGUCAUAAACAAAUAAUGCCUGUACCAUAACCGACACAGGUGGGUAGGUAGAGUAUACUAAGGGGCGCGAGAUAACUCUCUCUAAGGAACUCGGCAAAAUGACUCCGUAACUUCGGGAGAAGGAGUGCCUUAUUUAUAUAAGGUUGCAACAACAAGAUCCAAGCAACUGUUUACCAAAAACACAGGUCUCCGCUAAGUCGUAAGACGAUGUAUGGGGGCUGACGCCUACCCAGUGCCAGAAGGUUAAAGAAGUUGGUUAGCAUCCGCGAAGCUGAUAACUGAAGCCCUGGUGAACGGCGGCCGUAACAAUAACGGUCCUAAGGUAGCGAAAUUCCUUGUCGGGUAAGUUCCGACCCGCACGAAAGGCGUAAUGAUUUGGAUACUGUCUCGGAGAGGGGCUCGGUGAAAUAGACUUGUUUGUGAAGACGCGGACUACCUGCACCUGGACAGAAAGACCCUAUGAAGCUUUACUGUAACUUGAAAUUGAAAUUGGACUUUAUUUGCGCAGUAUAGGUGGGAGGCGUUGAAAAUAAUCUUGCGGGAUUAUUGGAGCCAUCAGUGAGAUACCACUCUUGUAAUGUUAGAUUUCUAACUUUGUAUCAUUAUCUGGUCAAAGAACAGUUUCAGGCGGGCAGUUUGACUGGGGCGGUCGCCUCCCAAACGGUAACGGAGGCGCACAAAGGUUUCCUCUGAACGGGUAGAAAUCGUAUCUAGAGUGUAAAGGCAUAAGGAAGCUUGACUGUGAGACCUACAAGUCGAGCAGGGACGAAAGUCGGUCUUAGUGAUCUGACGGUGCUGAGUGGAAAGGCCGUCACUCAACGGAUAAAAGUUACUCUAGGAUAACAGGCUGAUCUCCCCCAAGAGUUCACAUCGACGGGGAGGUUUGGCACCUCGAUGUCGGCUCAUCGCAUCCUGGGGCGGUAGUACGUCCCAAGGGUUGGGCUGUUCGCCCAUGAAAGCGGUACGCGAGCUGGGUUCAGAACGUCGUGAGACAGUUCGGUCCAUAUCCGGUGUAGGCGUUAGAAUAUUGAGAGGAGCCUUCUCUAGUACGAGAGGACCGAGAAGGACAUACCUCUGGUGUACCAGUUAUCGUGCCAACGGUAAACGCUGGGUAGCUAUGUAUGGAGUGGAUAACCGCUGAAAGCAUCUAAGUGGGAAGCCCACCUCAAGAUAAGUAUUC